This 467-nucleotide ribosomal RNA is filed under the name uncultured bacterium. Its description in RNAcentral is "partial 16S ribosomal RNA". It matches the Rfam family "Bacterial small subunit ribosomal RNA", at positions 28 to 507 of the family's 1533-position model. The record is from RNAcentral.
GACGAACGCUGGCGGCGUGCUUAACACAUGCAAGUCGAACGGAAAGGCUCCAGCUUGCUGGAGUGCUCGAGUGGCGAACGAGUGAGUAACCCGUGGGCAAUCUGCCCUGCACUCUGGGAUAAGCCUGGGAAACUGGGUCUAAUACCGGAUAGGACCUUUCUCCCCAUGGGGUUUGGUGGAAAGUUUUUCGGUGCAGGAUGAGCCCGCGGCAUAUCAGCUUGUUGGUGGGGUAACGGCCGACCAAGGAGAUGACGGGUAGCCGGCAUGAGGGGGAGAUCGGCCACAAUAGGACUGAGGUACGGACCAGACGGCAACGGGGGGCAGCAGUCGGGAAUAUGGCACAAUGAGCGAAAGUCUGAUGAGGCGGCGCCGGGUUAGGGAUGACGGCCUUCGGGUUGUAAACCUCUUUCGGUAAAGACGAAGCGCAAGUGACGGUACCUGAAGAAGAAGCACCGGCUAACUACGUG